RNAcentral lists this long non-coding RNA (1667 nucleotides) under Chloebia gouldiae (Gouldian finch). RNAcentral describes it as "Erythrura gouldiae (Gouldian finch) lncRNA (ENSEGOG00005013932.1)". The record is from RNAcentral. Lineage: Eukaryota; Metazoa; Chordata; Aves; Passeriformes; Passeridae.
GCCGCCUUCGCGGUUGCAGGGUAUGAGCUCCGCCAUGCCCGCCCGGCUGAAUUGUUGAUUUUUUUUGUUUUUUUCUUUCUUUCUUCUCCCUCCCCGGCCCGUUUCCGCGCGCAGGAGGAGGGAAAUGCAGCUGCAGGGGUUUGAGGGAAGCGAUGCCGAUUUAGCAAGCCGCCACUUGGUGGAAGGGUUGAAGGGUUGCACAAACAUUGCCUGGCUCGGCUGCCGGCCCUGGAGAACAUCCAGGCUCCAUCCAUAUCCUCCAGAUAAACAAAUUUACUCUUUUUUUUUUUUUUUUUUUUUUACAACAUACAGUUUGGAAGAGCAAACUGUUGUGUAAUUUCUUGUGUGUGGAGGGGGGGGGAAAGCUUUCCCACUUCUUCCUGCCCUUGACCCAGAAAAAGCAGCCCCUUUGCUGUGCUUUGCCAGGAUCACCCAGCUGGCAUCGCUUCCCUCAGCUCCUCAGGAAUCCUCACUCACUGAUUUUCCUGCCUCUGCCAUUCCCACCUCUUUAUUUCUUGUUCAGCUCUGUGGCUGAGUGCCCCGCUGUGGCCCCCCUGGCGAUGCCCACUCAUUCCAGGCGCACUCCAGGAGCUCCCAGGGUGGCCAAAAUCAGCCCCCAGAGCUGAGCAGCUCCCACACCUCGGCUCCACCAUCCCCAGCAUCCCUGGGAUUGCACUGUGACCUUCACACCUCCAAAAAAAACCAACAAAAAAAGGGCUGGAUUCUUCCCUGCCCGCUCCUCCAGCUGCCCCUUGGCAGGGCGGAGGCUCUGGGAUAUUCCCCGGUGCCACCAGAGUGCAGCAGAGCUGGAUGUCACCUGCUGCUUUACGGUGACUGCACCCCGGGGCCCUUCCCUUCCUCAGGGCAGCUUUUCUCUGCUGGAUCUGCCUGACAGAUGUGGAGCUCCUGGAAACGCUUCCCAAACAGGAUUUUAACCUGUUAAAAUGACACACACGGCAGGUUUCCCCUUCCCAGGGGUGGGUGGAGGCCACAGACGUGUCUGCUGGCGAGCAGAGUUUAUCUGGAUCUCCUGCCUGGAGAUUGGUUGGAUUGCUCCCAAAUCCAACGGGCGCUUGGCACGGGCUCCUGGUGCUUGGCAGAAGGGGCUGGAAGCAGGAGCUGGUGCCAGUGGGGAUUGUCCAGCAGAGCCAGGUGUCCCAGAGGGACAGGAGGGAGCCAGGGCGGGGGGACACUGCAGGAGGUGAAUGUUGGAUCACCCGUGCCAAGGCAGCUCGCAGGGGCCUGGGAGCGAUGCCGGGGGAGGGAGCUGGGAAUGCUGCCCCUGAGGAGGCGUGGGAGAGGGCUGGCAGAGUUCUCAUGUGUGCCUGCUUUUGUCUUCCAGCGGGGCAGAGUCCCUCUCCUUGGAUGAAAAAGAGGUGGCACCCAAUGGCUUGGAGGGAUCGGGAUCGGGAUCGGGAUCAGGAUCGGGAUCGGGAUUGGCCGAGGAGCACCCGGAGGGAGAAGCCAGCUCCGAAGACAGCUCCAGCAGCAGCUCGGAAGAGGAGUCAGGUGAGCAGGACAUUGUGAUUUAUUUACCUGUAAUCCCUUUUUUAAAACUGAUGUUCAUUUUAAACCAGCUGCCUCUCCUGAGUGUAAUCUUAUAAUUUGGGAAUGCUAACUCUGAAUGCUUUCCCAAUAAAAUUUUGGGAGCCAAUGAUUUUCUGUCA